Molecule: ribosomal RNA, 1172 nt
Filed under: Leuconostoc carnosum
Lineage: Bacteria; Bacillati; Bacillota; Bacilli; Lactobacillales; Lactobacillaceae
Description: bacterial SSU rRNA
Rfam family: Bacterial small subunit ribosomal RNA
Source: RNAcentral
ACUGAUCGGCCACAUUGGGACUGAGACACGGCCCAAACUCCUACGGGAGGCUGCAGUAGGGAAUCUUCCACAAUGGGCGAAAGCCUGAUGGAGCAACGCCGCGUGUGUGAUGAAGGCUUUCGGGUCGUAAAGCACUGUUGUAUGGGAAGAAAAGUUAAGGUAGGGAAUGACCUUAGCCUGACGGUACCAUACCAGAAAGGGACGGCUAAAUACGUGCCAGCAGCCGCGGUAAUACGUAUGUCCCGAGCGUUAUCCGGAUUUAUUGGGCGUAAAGCGAGCGCAGACGGUUGGUUAAGUCUGAUGUGAAAGCCCGGAGCUCAACUCCGGAAAGGCAUUGGAAACUGGUUAACUUGAGUGCAGUAGAGGUAAGUGGAACUCCAUGUGUAGCGGUGGAAUGCGUAGAUAUAUGGAAGAACACCAGCGGCGAAGGCGGCUUACUGGACUGUAACUGACGUUGAGGCUCGAAAGUGUGGGUAGCAAACAGGAUUAGAUACCCUGGUAGUCCACACCGUAAACGAUGAACACUAGGUGUUAGGAGGUUUCCGCCUCUUAGUGCCGAAGCUAACGCAUUAAGUGUUCCGCCUGGGGAGUACGACCGCAAGGUUGAAACUCAAAGGAAUUGACGGGGACCCGCACAAGCGGUGGAGCAUGUGGUUUAAUUCGAAGCAACGCGAAGAACCUUACCAGGUCUUGACAUCCUUUGAAGCUUUUAGAAAUAGAAGUGUUCUCUUCGGAGACAAAGUGACAGGUGGUGCAUGGUCGUCGUCAGCUCGUGUCGUGAGAUGUUGGGUUAAGUCCCGCAACGAGCGCAACCCUUAUUGUUAGUUGCCAGCAUUCAGAUGGGCACUCUAGCGAGACUGCCGGUGACAAACCGGAGGAAGGCGGGGACGACGUCAGAUCAUCAUGCCCCUUAUGACCUGGGCUACACACGUGCUACAAUGGCGUAUACAACGAGUUGCCAACCUGCGAAGGUGAGCUAAUCUCUUAAAGUACGUCUCAGUUCGGACUGCAGUCUGCAACUCGACUGCACGAAGUCGGAAUCGCUAGUAAUCGCGGAUCAGCACGCCGCGGUGAAUACGUUCCCGGGUCUUGUACACACCGCCCGUCACACCAUGGAAGUUUGUAAUGCCCAAAGCCGGUGGCCUAACCGUAAGGAGGGAACCGUCUAAGGC